CAGCAGCCGCGGUAAUACGGAGGGAGCUAGCGUUAUUCGGAAUUACUGGGCGUAAAGCGCACGUAGGCGGCUUUGUAAGUUAGAGGUGAAAGCCUGGAGCUCAACUCCAGAAUUGCCUUUAAGACUGCAUCGCUUGAAUCCAGGAGAGGUGAGUGGAAUUCCGAGUGUAGAGGUGAAAUUCGUAGAUAUUCGGAAGAACACCAGUGGCGAAGGCGGCUCACUGGACUGGUAUUGACGCUGAGGUGCGAAAGCGUGGGGAGCAAACAGGAUUAGAUACCCGCGUAGUCCCUGUCUCUUAUAC
Molecule: ribosomal RNA, 301 nt
Filed under: uncultured bacterium
Lineage: Bacteria
Description: partial 16S ribosomal RNA
Rfam family: Bacterial small subunit ribosomal RNA
Source: RNAcentral